Molecule: long non-coding RNA, 837 nt
Organism: Chenopodium quinoa (quinoa)
Lineage: Eukaryota; Viridiplantae; Streptophyta; Magnoliopsida; Caryophyllales; Amaranthaceae
Exons: 4
Source: RefSeq, a predicted model, not a curated record
AUCCGAUAUCCGAAAAUUACUUUUUUUUACCCAGAUUUAAAGUUCAAAUAUUAUCCAUAUGCCCAACAGCCCAAGCCCAACAAAAUCUCAACUUACCCUAAUUUCAAAUCCACCUCUUUCCUCUUUCUUUUCUCCCUAUCAGUUAGUCUUCUCAGUUUCUCACUCCUCUCUUAGUCUUGUCUGAGUUCUUUCUUGAUCUCUCUUAGUCUCCUCUCUACUCCUUCUCAGUGCCUCACUCAUCCACCAGAAGCAGCGGCGCCUCACUCAUCCAGGCCACCAGAAGCAGCGGCGCCCCUCACUCCUUCACCAGAAGCGACGACGCCCCUCACUCCUUCACCAGAAGCGGCGCCCCUCACUCCUCCACCAAGAUGGAUGAUGCUACUGUAGAAUCUGCUAACGUAGCAAAUCAACCAACUGAAGAGGAGCCCUUGGCGUCAACUGCUGCCAAUGAGGAGCAUGCUGGAAUUGAAAAACCACCACAGCCACCAAAAAAAAGGCCUUCAACCACUACUAGUGAUGCUGAUGGAGCUGAAAAAAAAAGAGUUGUCGUCUCUUGUUGAUCCGCCUUCGGUUUCCGUCAUUGAUGAUUACUUUUAGUAUUAGAAGAGUUGUUGACUUGCCGUAUGCUCAUACUUUGUUGAUCCGCUAUCGGUUUCCGAUGUUGAUGACUUAUUUUUUAGUAUAAGAUAAAAUGCAUGUAUUGACUAUUGACGUAUUGUUAACUAUUUGGAAAUUAAUGUAUUUGGACUUUAAAUUUUCUUUGUCAUAUAAUUUGUACUUUUGUAGCACUUAUCCAAUUAGUUUGCAUUUUGGCAAAUUGGCAGCCAUGGCAGGUUA